Camellia sinensis is the source of this 548-nucleotide non-coding RNA. The record is from RefSeq and is a predicted model, not a curated record. Lineage: Eukaryota; Viridiplantae; Streptophyta; Magnoliopsida; Ericales; Theaceae.
CACAGGCUCUAAGAAUUUUACAAUGGCAAUAAUCUGAAUUUUUCGUAGAUGCCAAACUUGGCGCAUUCUUCUGGGGGUUUUCUUUUUCAAUCCUCUUAAGAGAGCUCACGUACGGCGGAGCUUGGUGGCCCUGAUCCCCAGCUCCACCAGCCAUCCGCUAUCGCAGUGCGCCGAUAACAGAUUUAUGUUUAUGAAACAAAAUUGGCAAAAAGCGACAUAGUAAAGUUUUAUCAAUUUUUUCCAAAACCAGUUGUUUGCAGAAGGAACAAGGAUGAGAACACCAAGUAUACACGGAUCAAGCAGAAGAAGAUCAGAAACAUUAGUAGGUCAAAGAGUACUGAAUUCCAUUCAAUCGUGUGGUUGAUCAGCAAGUAGAAUUUAGCGUGCAGUGAAUUUAGCACCCAUCAUUCAUUGCAUUUUUGUGUGAUGCGGGAUUUGUAGUUUUAUUUUUUGUUUUAAUAUUUGCAGUAGCCCAUAAAUACUAAGCUUAUUGUUAUUAGAAGACACCUUUGAUAUUAAGAAUAAUAUUGAAUUGUGAGUUUUGGCUA